This is a long non-coding RNA of Drosophila miranda, 982 nucleotides long. RefSeq lists it as uncharacterized. The record is from RefSeq and is a predicted model, not a curated record. The transcript is spliced from 4 exons. Lineage: Eukaryota; Metazoa; Arthropoda; Insecta; Diptera; Drosophilidae.
GGCACAGGGCGCAUCCGCCUCAGCGCUAUAUGUGCACGUGUGUGUGAUGCAGCAGAUCACGCAUCUGCGGCAUCAGAAUUGGCAGAGGCUGGAUCCAGAAGUUGGCGUGAAUGGUGACUGGCGCGACUCUGGUCCGGCCGCCCACGUUGCUUCUACCUGGAGAUCUGGGGAUUGGCACUGGUCCGGCCAAUCAGGGUGCGUUGACCAGUGGAAAUGGCCGCAAAUGAGUGCGGAUUGGCUGCAUCCGAGUGGCUGCUGGUCCGGCCACCCAGGAUGCACUGUCGAUGUAGAUGGAGAUGGAGCGCUGGCCAGAGUCGUCUGUAUUGGCUGGCCUCGUCGUUGGAUUGCUGCUGCUGUUUUGUGAUGAUGAUGGCGUGACGUCACGGCCAUCGGUUGACGGCAGCGUAAUCGGAGAGGCGUCCAAAUUGGGCCCAACUUGCAACACAAUGUUGCGGUUGGUGGCGAGGCAGGUACUGGAGAGGCUGAUCUGUGAGUGUACUGUCAGCGGCAGCCUGUGGUCUGGAUGUUGUUGGCGACGGCGAUAGGGCCUUCAAAUUUCGCCCAUUUGGCAGAAAGUGGAUGGUGAAUUUGGUGUGGCAACUGCUGGAGAGGCAGCUCUAUCGGAGGCGUGGCAGUGGCUGCUCUGGACCUGUGCGGUGGAUUGUCAGGAGCGUCGUCAAUAAACCCUAAAAUGUCGUCCAAUUGGCAUCAAAUGUGUGGUGUUGAUGACGGGGCAGCUGCUGGAGGGGUAGAUCUGUCGGAGGCGUGGCAGUGGUUGCUCUGGACCUGGGCGGUGAAUUGUCAGGAGAGUCGUCAAUAUAUUCUAAGAAUGUCGUCAAAUUAGCAGCAAAAGUUUGGUCUAUUUGUCGUGGCAUCUGCUGGUGGGGCAGCUCUGUCGAUGGCGUGUCAGGUGAGGACGUAUUGGUCAUUUUUCGUGGUUAUGUGAGUUAAUGUUUUCCAUCUGUUUUUAGUGGCUGCCUCA